UUUUUUUUUUUUUUUUGUAAUAUAGACAACACAAUUAUUUAAUCAAUUCAAUAGGUCUAUGAUAACACGUAAAAUGCACUAUUAUUUUAGCUCGACUUACACAUUUUUUUAUCUCGAUUUUAUAGAUUUUUGCAAUGUUAUGCUGGUAUUGUGUGUCUAUUUCAGGCAUUUGUCGGUUAAAGUUCUUUUUUUGAAUUUAAAUUUACUUCUAUUUUCAUGUAAAGAUUACCUCUACAUCUGUUUGAGCUGCUUCCAAUCUCCCAUCAAAGGGUUCAUGGUCUCCAACUACAGACUCUAAGGAGUUCAUCAAUGGAUCAGGCUGCAAUAGGAAGGCAAUGAUUCAUUGAAUUAAGAGUCAAAUACUGCAUAGUUUACAUAGAUUCUGCCAAAAUAACUAUAUAGAUAAUUACCGUGACCUCCUUUAAUGAUAAAAAUAUGCGGCCAAGAGCAGAGUUUAUCUGGUGAACUUUUGCCUCUACAGCCUGUACCAAACAGUAGAAAGAUAAACACAAAAGAAGUAAUAUAUAAAAACAUCAGAUUUCAUGGGUACUCAAUUGAUUCCAUCCAUAUUGAAAGCGCCAAGCCAGUAAUAGAUUGCAAAAUAAUGGAAGCAAACCAAAUAUAUUCUCCUGCACUUCAUUAAAGUCCAAUUUGUUUGUCCUUUUUUCUAAGCAAAAAUAUUUUUUAAAUGUGUUGAAGAGAAUUAUAACUAGGUAAAUUGCUAGAACUAGAAGAUAUGAAAAUGUCUUAUAAUAUCUCAGUAUUAUUUUAAAGUAUCUUAAAGUGUACCGUAUCUCAGUCCAAUCGAUACAAAUUUCUAGUGUGUAUCUAUUUUGGACAUGAACCUCAUGUUAAAUCCCGGUUCACAAUAAAGAAUCUUGAUUCAUUCCAUUGAGUUGCUACUUAAACUUAGUGUAGUCAGCCACUUCUUUUUGUCAACUUUGUAUAAUCAUCCACCUUUCUUUUGUCAUUUGAUUUAUGACUUGAAUCUUUAAUUAUGAUGAGGUUUGAAUAUGAUAUACUCCCUCUUGUCCAAAAUAUAAGCAAAAAUUUACAUGUAUUUGAUCUAAAUUGGACCAAAUACAUGUAGCUUUUUACUUAUAUUUGCGAUCAAACGGAGUAUCAGCUUACAGUUAAGCUAUGUCACUUGUUUUCUCUUAACAAUAUCAAAUUUUUAUUAGUAAUGUAUCUUACAAAUCAUAAUAAGACUGGACUCACGAUUCGGAAAACAAUUCUUAUGUUUCAUGAUUAAUGAAACAGUUCUUAUGAUUCACGAUAUGAAUCUCAAUUUGAUAACCAUUAUCUUAUGCGUUUUUUAAAAAUACGUGUUUACGAAAAAACUAUGUAAGUUCGUUAAAAGCAAAAACGUGUGAAGAAAAAACAGUUUCAAUUCUUUUCUCAUUAGCAAAAAAGUAAACAUAUUAACUUCUCCAAAAUAAAUAUAAAAUAUCUUAAAAUAAUUGUAUUGUGGAAUAACAUUUUUUGAAGUUUAAACAAGCAAACUUUAAUUUGUCACCCCGUCAAGAAGUAAUACCUGAUCAAUCUUAAAAUAAUUAGAUGGGUCCAACGUGGAAUCCCACGAUAUUUCUGAUUGAUGAAUUAGUGCAGAAACUCCUUCAACCUACAUUAACAACAGGUCAAUAUUUAGAAUUUUCUACCACCUCUCUGAACUUGAUUCCAUGAACGAAUAUCCAGGCACUAGCUAAAUACAGAGACUGUGGCACAAAAAUAGGCUAACCAAGGAACUUCUACUGGCUUAAAUGAUGCAAAGCUAAACAUGUUUGUAAAAGUGAACUCAAUUUACUGAAAUCAAAUGUUUUAUAUACCUCAACAAAAAUUCCAAAGUAAGUUAUCUUUUGGAUGCGGCAUUUCACAAUAUCACCAACUUGAAGUCUAGCCUGCCAUAAGAAGCACAACGAAUCUGAAUACCACUUUGUUGCAUUCAAUCUAAAACACCUGCCCUGGGCUAAUUCAAGAAUAGUUAUGUCACUAAAGCAUUUACCAUGAGAUUUCUCUUCUUUUCAGUUAGUUCUUCGUUCUCUUUUGCUUUUAGUGAAAAUAUGAGCCUUUUCAAUUUCCUGUCUGAUAGUAACACGUAUGCUUUGAUUUGCUGCAAAACAAAGUAUUGGCAUCUCAAUAUUAAGAAUGAUAAUAUUAAAGUUUCACCUUUUGCAGCAAAAAUAGAUAAAUUUAUUUGGGUUUUGUACUUGUGUUCUGAAUACCAAACCUGUCCAAUAAAUGAUGAUAAGAACUUGAUUUUCUCUUGGUCAUAAAUCUUUAACAGAUCUUCCAAUUUCAUAUCUGGUGAAAUUUUAUCUUCAAGUUUACCAUCAUUCUCCAUAUGUGAAGGUGAAUCAGCAGAAAAAUUACUAUUUUCAGCAUCAUAAUUUGUCACAGUGACCAAGUUUUGCUUGUACAUUGAUGGAUCCAAGCCCUUCUGUCUUACCCAUGACUCAAAAGCUAAAAAUUUCCACUUAGACAGAAGAUUUCGGUAUGGCAGAAAUCCUACCAAGGUACCAAAAGAAACCUGUAAAUGGUCAAUCCAGUUCAGAAGAUAAAUAAGACAGACUAAUUUUUAUCUAUAAAUGAAAGUCCCUUUUACUGAUUUUUAAGUACUUACAACGAAACCCUUGACAUUGCAGCUUACUACGUCCACAUCAACUCUAUCUCCAGUCUUAAUCAAAUCUUCUGCCUUGGUCCAAUCAGUAUCUUCGCCUUCCUACAAUAUCAAAAAACAAAAAGGUAAAUAAACAUGGAAUUUAGGAAAAUAGAUGCAUUGCUAAUGUCUCAUAUAGAUAUGUAAGUAACUAGGGUAAUCCACAAAAUCUGACCAGAAUAUCUAACACAUCAACAAGAUUUCCUGAUUCAUCACUGUUUCGACGACUUUCAGGAUCAAGGGAAGCAGUCUCUUCUCCAACUGAUUUUGAGGUUUGUUUCUCAUAUGGAUCUAAUCUAUAACAAAAUUACAUUUAGGUAAUGAAACAUAUUUGCAACCAUAAUCUGAAAUAUACAACUGUGAAAUUAUUAUCAUAUACCUUUUUGGCUUUCCUUGUAUUGCAGCUUCUACGGACAACUCCGUCUUAGAACCAACUGAAUUUAAAUCAGAUGGUUGAUUUAAAUCAAAUUGUUCCUGAUGGACCUCUGAUUGUCUCUGCUUCUGUUGCUCUGAUCCCUAAUUAAUCAAAGCAUGAAAUAAUUUAAAAACUAUGCUUCCGUUAUCAAAUUCCAUAAUUGCAACAAAGAUUGGCACCUACAUCAAUUGGGACCACGACUCUCACAUCUCCAAACUUCUCUUCUUCUACUUUGUCGCCUGCUCUUUGUGGCUGUUGCAACAAGGUUAAAUUUGUGACUUCAUCACUUGGCUCUCCAAACUGCUCUUCUUCUUCUUCUUCUUCUUUGGCACUUUGUCUCUGUGGCUGUCCCAACAAUGUCAAGUUUGCGACUUCCUCACUUGGCUCUUCAAACUGCUCUUCUUCUUUGUCACUUGCACUUUGUGGCUUUUCCAACAAGGUCGAAUUUGAGACUUCAUCACUUGGCUCUCCAAACUGCUCUUCUUCUUUGCUACUUGCUCUUUGUGGCUGUUCCAACAAGGUCAAUUUUGCGACUUCAUCACUUGGCUCAGCAAACUUCUCUAGUUCUUUAUUAGAACUUGGUCUGUGUGGCUGUUCCAACAAGGUCAACUUCUCGACUUCAUCACUCGGCUCUGCAAACUUCUCAAGUUCUUUAUUGCAACUUGGCCGGUGUGGCUGUUCUAACAAGGUCAAUUUACUAACUUCAUCACUUGGCUUUGCAGACUUCUCUACUUCUUUAUUGCAGCCUGGUCUGUGUGGUUGUUCCAACAAGGUCAAGUUACUAACUUCAUAACUUGGCUCUUCUUUCCGCGUCUUCAACUCACUUUCAACAUUUUUACCAAUUAACGAUCCAGGCUUUCUCAACAAUGUCAUGUCACUAAACUUCUCCUUCACUUGUCCACUCUGCAUUUUAAGAGAAAAAUUCGGUUUCAUUCUCAACCUCGAAGACAUGUCCACAUCUUCAUCCCCGUCUUUGUCCUCAUUAUACAGGGACGGCUUUCUCAAAAUAACAAUAGGAACAUUACUUUUUGUAACAUUCACCGGUUUCCUCAGGGCUUGAUUAGGUUUCUUAAUCUCCAUUUCAACAUUGUUAUCACUAUCAUCAGAAUUGGGUUUGGGUUUUGCCCAAGGUCUUUCAACUUCAAAUGGAAGUUCCUCAAUAUCCACAACUUUACCCUUUUUUCUUUUAUAAAAGGAUUUCUCAAUAUCAAGAUAAGAUGCAUCAGGGUUGGCCUUUCUUCCCAAUACCUAAAACAACAAUUAUAUUAUAAAGUUUUGAAACAUAAUCAUUUGAUUCAUUCCAAAAAAAUAAGUCUGUAAGGUUAGGUCAACUGGCAAUGCUUAUAUGCCGAUAUUAUUAGGCAGUAUAUCUUCAUGGGAUUCGAGCAGUUAUGUGUCUGAGUUUCAAAGUGAUGUUUAUCACUUCGUAUACAGAUAAAAACAAAAACAACAAAAUUGAAAAUUAAAAUAAUAUGCACCUUGGCAAGGGUGAGUUUAGGGUCUUCACCAAGUAAACGACCGAAUUUGAGUUCCAUGAGGUCGUAAUUAUCGAGUUGAGGGGUAUUUUUGUCUUCAUCGCGUGAAGAUGAGGCAAAAACCUUGUAGUUUUUUCUCUGGUUCAGAAAAACAGUUGUUGUUGUUGUUGUAGUUCUUCUUCUAGUAUUUGAUGAUGAUGAGAAGAAAGGAAAUUGAGUUGUAGUGAUGAAGAAUGAGGAUUUACUAGUUAGAGGAAGAGACCCCAUUUCGGUAUAUUAUUAUUAUUAUAACAACCACAAUUGCUAUCAUCAAUCAAACCAACUUCACUUUUCUAGUUGGAUGGAGAUACUCACAAAUACAAUCACAACACAGGGUUAUCUCGGUAGCAGUAGCACGUGGUGACGUGGUUUCUUGGCCUUUUAUUUUUUUAUUUUAUUUUAAAUAUAUCUUUCUUUCUUUCUUUUUUUUUAUAAAUAAAAUAAGUUGUGUAGUUAAUCAACUAAUCAUCCAAAUAUGAUUACAUUAAUGACAUGAUUAGCUUUAAGAUAGUUCUCUUGUUGGAGGAACGAUUAGAGGAAGAAGUUUUUUUUGUGGUUACAACUAUUUGGACACAUUAUCAUCUAACAUAUUUGAAGAAAACAAAGAUAGGAAUAGAAAAGAAUUAAAUAAUUGUUGUAAAUUUUUAAAAUAAUUAAAAGAUGGUAAAUGUUUUGUUGUAAUUCGUGCAUUGAAUUUGUAAGACACAAGUAUUAAGAGAAUAUUUCUAUUUUUAGGUUGCUUAACAAGUACUAUUAAGAGAAUAUAACGUGUAUCCUUAAAAAAUAUAUGUUUUGAUGUGUGUGCUUAAAUAUUGUGUCUAAAUCAUUGUGAUAAAACAAAGAAUGCAUCUUCAUCCCAAUUUAUGAUAGAAAGAUUGUCUUUCUAUUGAGUUAAAUAAAAAAGUGUUUACUCAGGAAAGGAAAGAGUAUAAUGUAAAUGACAACAAAUUAUGACUACAAUGUAUACUUAAUUUGAAGCAAAUAAGAUAUUGGAUCAUAUAAAGAAUAAAGUACAUAUGAAAAUGAGUGGGGCAUAGGUAGGCAUACAUCACAGACUUUGGCUUCUAAAACACAUCUACUACAUAACAUGCCCCCAAAGAACAUAACUUAUUUAUCAUCAUCUAAUGUUUGUUCAUUAACAAAUUAAUGAAUGAAAUAUGUGAUAGCAUAAUUGCAGGAUAACCCUCCCAAAUGAUAUAAUUCCACCAGAACCAACCACCCAAUCAAAAUGUGGGAUAUGUUUAAGGCAAAUCAACCAUAUAUUCUGAAAGAUAUCAUACAAAGAUGCAACCUUGUUGAGUUACUACUCCUUCAACUACUACACCUCUUGUGUAACAGCAGGAUCUUGUUCUUCCUUUGUCUCUGUCUCUGUGUCUGAUGCUGGUGCUGAUUCAGUUUUCUCUGCUGCAGCUUGUUGCAUUUCUUCAUUUUUCUUUAUUGAAGCUUGUUUAGAGAGAUAACUAUAGCUACCUUUUGCCUUAAACAACUGAGAAAAGUGUGGUUUGCAGUAGAUGAAUCCAUCAAGAGCAGCAUAGGAUGAAGGGCUGAGAAAACAUCCUCCAUGUGUACACCUAAAGCAUGACUUGUGGUAAAACUCACCUUCCACUGUCAACUGUCAUAAACAGAAUUUCACAAUUAAAGUAUCAGAAAUGUUUUUUAGACAUCAGAAUUUGACUCCAGACAUUGUGACAUUUUAUACGCUUGUCGAUUUUAUAUAAAAAAAAUUCCUCAUAAUCUAAACACACUGAAAACCGGUGUAUUAUAUACGGUAUCAGUAUAAGUUAUCGAAUUUUUGUGUCCAAAUCCAGCGUUGUUGGAGUAUAUAUAUGAUCAGAAAAAAGGGCCCACUGAAAUCAUGGUAUGGUCCAGCAGUGUUUGAUUAUAUAGUUCUAUUGUUUUAGUAGUACAAUAGUAUCUGAAAUUAACCCAAAUAUAUACCUUUUCCAAUGGAUAUACAGUUUUCUUGCAUGAUGAACAUUUAUCCUGAGUCCCUGAGAAGAAAGCAGAAAGUUUGCUUGGGGCCCUAGGCUGUAAACAUAUGAAAGAAAUUAUAUUAUAUUGUAAAUUGAAGACAUACUAGAAGAACAAUAUUCAAACAAAGUAAAUGAGUGUUGUAUCAAAAGUGAAUAGAAUACACACCAGUUCGCUGGGCUUUCCUGCUGUUUGAAAAUCAUGAAACAAAUUAAGAUUAAGUGAUUAUUUAGCCCCAAAAACAGCACAUAAAUUCCUAUUAUUAUAAUUUGGUAUAGACAAGUAUAUAAAAAAAAGGAUCUUAUUACCCGUCUGGGGUUUCUUGGCGGCGAAGGAAUCCUUGAAAAGCUGCUCAGCGUGAGUCUUGCAGUAUAAAACUCCUUCGAUUGAUUGAUAGUUACUCAUCUGCAAUGAAAAUUAAACCAUUUAUGUUAUUAUUAGUGAUUAUUUGUAUUUCGAUUUAUUUAUUUUUACAAGUAAAAGUUUAGGUGAGUUGAAUAUGUUGGCCUAGAAAAGUACUUAUAUUGUCACAAUCCCAUGUCGUUUAAGAUUAUGCAAGCUCCUUCUUAAGAAGAUCAUUGAGAGUAUAAAUUUAUAUACCAAAAAAAUUAAACAUGGAUAACUAUUUUUUGUCGACAUGCAAUUGAUUAUUUUUUGCUUAUACUUGUGUUUACAUAGUGUAGUCCCUAUCAUUUUGUGUUUCAUAAAAAAUAAAAUAAAAAAUACAUGUCUUUAGAUGCAAUUUGACCCAUCUUUGAUAUAUAUAAAACAUAAACGAGGGACCAUAUAGCAAAAACAAAUUGGUAAAACCAGAAAACAAAUUAAGGUACGUAUGUAUACAUACCGCGAGAAGGCCAUUGCAUUGAUUACAUCUGAAGCAGUUCUUGUGAAAAACAUUACCAUCAGCAGAUAAUGUAUCAACCAAGUGAACAGUUUUAUCACAAACCUUGCAUUUCUGUUGGGUUCCAGUGAAAGACAUGGUUAUCAAUUUGUUUAAUAAACUUCCCCUCUAUCUCGUACUAGCUGAUUAUUGUUUCUGUUGGAAUUAUUGAAAGCUAGCACAGAAAAUGGUGAGGGUUCGGCUAAAACACCAAAGAUAUUGAGCUAUAUAUGGUUCAAAUAACAUAACUAUAAUAUUGUGACCCUUUGAAGUUGCUGUGGUGUGCGAAAUUAUAGGUCUAGAAAAAGAAAAAAGGAUGUGAAAUGGGUGGAGAAGGUGUGCACACCUAUAAUUUUGCAAGCUUCACUGCCUUCAGAUUUUGCAUGGACACAAAUAUAUCAUUGUCUAAUUGUAGCUCUCCGAGUCUAAAGGACACAUGAGACACAAAGCUAACUCUUUGACCAGGUAAUUUUACCCAAUGAUAUGCAUGAUGCAUGAGCUUAUUUAGUUUGCUUAAUUGGAUAGUUUGUGAAUAUGCUUGUAUAUCUAUGUUUGGCAAAUUAGUAGUGAAAAAUAGUCCCUAAACUUGCUUUCAUUAAUUCCUAGCACAAAUUAGCAAAAUAUGUUUCAACAAUACCUCGAAGAAACAUCUAAGAUUACCACAAUCACAUGUUUUCCUCCACAUAAAUUGAUUUAUCUACAUUUGCGAAAUUCAAACACUAUUAUAACAUUAUAUUUUGCUAAACUAAAUGCAAGGCCAAACCAACCAUGAGCCGUCAAAUCCUAAAUGUUAGAAGAAUAUUGUUUAUUUUUGUUUCAAGCAUCAAAUUUUAAACCUCACUCACGUCCCCUACAAAAAAAAAAAAUAGUACUAUCAAUCAUAAGUAAUAAGGCUUUGGAUAAAUCACCACCUUAGUCUAGCACAAGUUGUUGAGUAAGGACAUUAAAUAUAGAGGAUCCUAACUCCAAGUUGUUAGUGUGCAAUGUGUGAAUGUUAUGAAUUCCAAAGUUACUAGUUUGAUUUCUAAUAAUAAUAAAAAAAUAUGUUGGAUAAAUCAAAAUAUUUCCACGUGUAUCUGCAAAAGGUCAAAAAAGCAGGAUGUGAUACAAAACAUCAUGAUAUAAUGCCAUAUGAAAAUAAGGAGGUAUAACUCAAUAACAAAAUCCAAAAUAAUUCUAAACUUUUAUUACAAGAUGAAUAGUAGAUUUAAUCUCUUGAGUAUAUGAACUUCAUUAAGUACUUUAUUUCAAUUAAUUCAAACUAUCGUAGUAUUUGUAACCCACUUGAGCCUUUAAAAGAAGGGAGAUCUAUGAGGUAUUCCCUUUCUUUUCCUUUUUCCCAAAGAAGGUCCAGAAGUUCCCUCCUGUGUUUCCUGAUGCUGAGGAGGACCCUGGAUUGAAGGUCCUGAGGAGGACUCAAGUGGUGUUGUGCUAACUGGAUCCUCAGACUCUGACUUUUUUGAAACUGCUUCAACCUGGUGAAAAUUCAGAUAAAAAAGAUCAAACAAUACUAUUCAUAUAUCGAAUGUGCGAUGAAAGAGGAAAAUAAGAGGUUGUGAUUUUCAAAUUAUAGUCAUCACCUUGCAAGAAAGGGCGCAGUAGCGAUAUAAAUCAGGUUCAUUCAACUUUUUGUUGCAAACUUCACAGGAGUCUUCAGCAUUUGAUGCUAUCUCACUGAACUGGCGAGGCUUCAAAGAAAUAACCACUUUCCUGUUGCUUUUGUAAGUCUACGUCCAAAGAGGAAUCAAAACCAACACGUGGUAAAAAAAAAUUGGUUCUCAGUUGAAUUAUCUCACAAGUCUAUAUCUAACUGUGUCAUAAAUUUUGAUGAACAAAUUUAUUGAAUCAGAGUUAUUUGUAAUUACUAGGGUGUGUUUGAUUUGCUAAAGAACAAGGGACUGGAUUUUUUUUUUAAGAGAACAGGGGACUGGAUUUGACAACAUUUCUUGUACCCUGUUUGAUUUAGAAACUGAUCAUAGCACUGGACAAAACAGAGGGGAAGCGACUGGACAAAAACAUGAAUUUUUGUCCCUCGCUAACCAUGGGACAACUUGUCCAGGCAGGGGUACUGACUAUCCAAAAAACCCUUUUCAUUUUUCAAACAUAAAAAAUGUUAUUUCUCUAUCUCUAUCCAGUACUGCUCUGUCUUCUUCUGUACUGUCAUGCACUGUUCUGUCAGUAAUUGUUGUUUUGCAAAUCAAACACACCCUUAAGCUAGUAAAGUCGUUCUAUGAAAGAGAAUCUCCCAACAAUAUGAAGGAAAAAUAGUGCAUUUAAAUCAAUUUGAUGCAUUUCACAAGCACAAUGAUCUCUUACAACUUGCUACGUGAAUUUAAGCAACUAUGAUUAGCAAAAGAAAUUCAUCAAAAGUGCAUAAACUUGCUGUGUUUCACAUAGUAAAAUUUAAAGUUAAGCUAUUAAUCAUACCUGAACUUCUGAGCAAUCAAAAUAUUUUUCCAUAGCACUCAGAGCAACAACAUCCUUGUAAAUAUGUCUAUAUAUUUUCAGUAUUUUGUGGUGGCGAUGAACACCAGAUGAUAUACAAUAUUGGCAGCAUACCAUAUUGCAAUCUGUACAAUACUUUUUCAGCUCAUUCCUACGAAUUUGAUGAGUAGAACAUGAGCCAAAAUAAUUUUCUCUCAAAAGAGCCUCAAGCCAAAUUGGUUUUUCAACAUUACUUUGGGUUGCCUCCUGCAAAUUAAACCAUGUCAGUAAAAUUUAUAUUGAAAGUUACAGAAAAUGAAAAUAAAUGUUCAUCUUGUUCUCUCUUAGCUAAUUACUUUUUAAAUAUUUAAUUUUUUAUUUUCAUUUUCUCAAGUAUUCAUGCAUAUAUGUUAAUUAGCAUACAUUGGAAAAGAAUGUCAUACAUUUUGAUACAUCAUUGUGUUCAAAAUAUAUUGUAUGUUUAAUAUGGGUGCCUCCUUAACUCAUGUCACCAUUAAAACAACAAAAAAACCAGUAUUUAAUUGUGAGCCAAACACAAAUAAAUAUAAUUUAUACACAAACCAAAAUUGAUACUUCCAUAUUGCUACAUGUUUCUUCAAUUGAUAUAAGCUCGUGAGAUCUUGAAUUAUAUUAAUAUGCCGAAAUUCCAGGUGAUUUCCUGUUGAACUUGAGAAUUACUACAACUAGAGGAUUAACUAAGCUAAAAGGGCUAUUUUGAAAAUAAAUUAUGCCAGCUUAUUUCGAUCAUGAUUUAUAAUGAAUUGGUUGGAAUGAGAUAUUAAUCAAUCAGAACUAGUGUGACAACAAGCUCUAAGAUUUUCAAAGAUAAACAUGGUAGAAACAUCUUAUUAAUGGAGCAGAUAUUCCAUGUAAAAAUAUGUAGAUCAUCCAAUAUUGCGAAGAAAUCUGGAAGAUAAAGAUGCGUAAUUGCAAAAUCAUUUCGAUUUAUGCCUAAUAAAGUACUUCGUAUUCAAAUGAAACAACACACACACACACACACAUGUUGUAAUCAAAAUUUAAGAGCUUAUCUAUAUCAAAAGAACAGCUUAUCGCAAAAAAUUGCAAUAUUUUUUGAGAAAAUGAAAAAAGAGUCACAGAGACCAAGGAGUUUUAAUUGAAUAUUGCACCAUUUAACACAGAGGAAGUACACGAGCAAAAAAUUAUGACCACAUACCAUGCUCAUUUUUGUAGAAGAAGCAGCACCCGUCGUUAUCCUCUUAUACAGAUUAAAAUUUAAAAAUAGGUUUAAUAUUUGAGAACGAAAAGAUGCUCGAUGAAGAAUUCAGAUUUCAAUCGCGAUCGAAUCUGACUAAACGGCCAAGCAGUAGAGGAAAAGGAGAGAAAGAAUAACCCUAGGCAGCCAUUUUGAUACGAGGCUCAGUUUCUGGACAAGAAUGAGUUCAUAUACUAAGUGCAAAAAAGGAAAACCAAAUUUGGUAAAGUCUACGUUGCUAGUCUCAACAUCAAAAAACAAAAUGUCAUAAGCAGAGUUUUGAUACCGGCCUCACUUUUUGAUUAUGAAAAAGUUCAUAUACUUGUACAUAGGGUUGUACACAAUGAAAAAUAAAUUUUGUAAAGACUAAAUGGAUGAAAUUGAUCAAACUAUUCUUCUUAACUUCUUUUUCAUAUUCACAAGUUUCUAGUCUCAAUUUCAUAAAAACAAAUGCCAAUGGAAGAGUUAUGUUUCAUCAUUAAGAUCAUAGUUACUAUCCUUCCAUAGAAUGAUAUAUUAUGAAAUCUAGAAAGAACCAUUGCAAAUUUCUCAACAAAUGGCCAACAGAAACAAUCUUUAUAUUUUUCAUAAUAUAUAGGAUCACAAGGCUGAGUGCAACAAGGCCAUUAGCACCGGGACUCAAAGUUAGGGGAUCUCAAAUUUGGGUUAAUAUGUUACGGGCCCAAUCCACACAUCUACUCCCUCUCUUCUCAUGCGAGGAAAAUAGCAAGCAAAACGAAAAAAGUAGGACGACUCUUUUAAAGUAGCUAGAAGAUUGAUAUGAACUUGAAGUUGUAUUUUGAUAUUAUUUAUUAAGGCAUUGCUCUUUUUGAGCUUUUGGCGUUUCUUUUUAUAAGAGACCCAUUUUUUAAGACUAGAACAGGGUCUCUAAAUUGUUUGAGAUUACCCUGAAGCAAACACAUUGAGCUUAAAAUUUAGCAUUAAAGGAUGCAAUAGGUUUUCUGUAAAACGCCAUUACAAUCCCAAGACUUGGUAUACAAAUUUUACAUUUUUCGGAAGACCCUAAUUUACAAUAAACCUACAUUGAAUUCUUCGUUAAACCUAGAAAUAAUAUCCAUGGAAAUUUGCAUCGAUUAUAGAUUAAUUCAAACAAUAAUAUCAAUGAUCAUGUUUUAGUUAUUGUUCAAAAUCUAACUAACGAAAUUGGAUUCCGCUAAAAUGAAUUGAAGCAAAUAUACAAAAGAUUAUGAGUGAAAUUUUACCUUGGAAACAGAAAUCCAUGAGAAAAGGAGAGUGAGCUUUGUUGAGAAACGUCAUUGCACUGAAGAAGAAGAAGAAGAAGAAGAAGAAGAAACGAUGCGACUAUCUCAUACAUAGCAGGUGAAGUGCGAGUGGGUUCGAAGAUCGUAGUUGACUGUAAUUCAUUUUUUCAGUGUGGAGACAAAAAAAAAAAAGGACAUGAGACCCACUUUUGGUUGCUUACAAGUUACAAUAAUUUAUUUAUUUUUAUAUAAAAAUAAAACUGAAAAAUUAAGGCAAUGACUGUUAACAAGAGAGAAACCAACAUUAUGACAUUUAAGCGUUAGGGCAUCAACACAAGAGUUUGCUUUGUGAUUAACCUAGACGUUCCAAUCUCAUGAAGAAAAGGUUGAAGAUGAAUGGUAGAAGUAAAUUGAUUUUGUAUGAUUGAAUUAACUUUUAGGAUGACAUGAGUAUUUCUCUAGUCAUUUGACAACCAAAUAAAAUACAAUAACUUACAAGGCAAGACCAUGGUCAUCUUUAUGUGGGAGCCAUCCACGUUGAUUUUAACAAAUCGGGAAGAAGGUUUAUCCAUUGACUAUUGUGGCUAGUUAUAUUCUCAUCCCGAGAUACAAGAGGGAAAAUUAUCUCCUUCUCGAUCUAAGAAUCCAUAUUAACCACCUUGGAAGUAAUGUAGCUACAAAGUUCAAUCUCUCUAGAGAAUACUAAGUUAUUAUGGUCUUUCUAGAGAGCUCUGACCGACACAACAAAGAAGAUAGAUCAAUUGGUGUUGCUAGCUCCAAUGUUCUUUGUCAUGAUGUUACAUUCAAGCCAUGGUUAAAAAAUUUAGCCAAUUGUCGUACGUGAUGAAGUGAUUCUAAUACUGUUGAACAUCCUCAAGACCUAGAAGCAUAUACAUGAUGUUUUCAGGUUGAGACCGACACCUAGGGCACAAGUCACCGUUUGUUAUUCGGAGGCGAGCUCUUGUUGCAUUUGUAAGCAAUAAUCCAUGAGCUAACUUCCAGAUAAGAUUAUACAAACUACUGAUAAGAUUGUAAGUUGUUUUUAAACUAACAUUUUCGUCAUUACAAAGAUCUCAAUUAGGGAUAUCACUACCUCAAGUGAUUAAAGCGUUCAACUUAAAAAUUAAGUUGCAUAUAGAAUCAACAAGUCAAUUAGCAAUCAUAUCUCAGUUGAAAUUCUCAUUUAUCGCAUAAUUUGACAUAGAGUACUUGAUUUCUCCAGGAGGGACGAAAUCCUUGUAAUGUUGUUAAAGUUAGUGUUUGAAUACAUUUGUGUAAAAUUGAAUUGAAUUAUAAAUUUGUGUGUGAAAAUCAAUUAUAGAAUAAAAAAAUAUUAAUUUUGACUCCAAGUAGAAUCAAUUUUGUGGCAAAAUCAAUUUUACUUGAAAACACAACCAAAUAUGUUUGAAUUAAUUUUAUAACUCCAUAAUCAAUUUUGACAACUCUAAAAGUAUAACCAAACAUACACCAAAUUAAAGGAGACACACUCUUGUGUAAGGUCAGGUCAGAGAUGAUUCUACUUUUGUGAGGAGAAAGUUCAAUAUCUUUCAACCUUAGUUAAUUUUCCAAUUUAUCAUUAAAAAUUAAACAUAUAAACGAAGUUUCAUUUGUUUUCAAAUGCAAAUUUCAUUGUCCAUCUUUUAUUACCAACAACUAUUUAGGAAAAAAACGAUACAAGAAGCAAAAUUUAAAUUAAAUGUAUAACCAAAACAAGCAAGCUAAUGAAAGUUUUUCUCUUGCAUAUUUCUAACUGAAAAACCUUAAACCGCUGAAACAUCCAAGAAGUCUUCUUGGCUGAUAGCCACGAGUACGAAACUUUGCAGCUGUCUCCUCUACCUUGAGGAUUUCUUCCCCUUUUUGAGCUUCUAUCAUUGCCUUUUUCUCUUCUGCUGAUUUAUGAAUUUCACCUAUUUUGUUUUGCAUUACUUCAACAUAUUCACUCUUCUUUCUGUCCAAUUUUACCUGUGAUUAAUUUAUACAAACUUUCAUUUAAAAUUUGGUUCAUAUAACUAUUAUUGAAAGAAGAAAAAAUCAAUCAAAUUGAUGCAAAAAUUGAGCACAUCUGACCUCAAUUCCUUUGAAUUUUGCUUCAAUUGAUGCUUUCUUAUCAUCCUCCCACAAAUCAACAGCAGAUUGCAUCUUAUAUGCCCUAAUUGACAUUAAUUAUCAUAAGAAUAAGAAGAUAUCAUUCACCUAGUCAUUAUAGAAAAUUGAAUUGGAUAUUAUUAAAUUAAUGUCUAAUAUUGAUAUUCGAAAGCUUUUAUAUCUUCCUUUUCUAGCACCUUACCUAUUCUCUACUUUUGUCUUCUCAUUUUCUUCCCAUGCUUUAAUUAAAGCCAAUCUUUUCUGCGAUUCAACCCUUGCUAGUACAGCAUCUAAAGGAACUAAAAAUUGAGUUAAUCAUCUCUCAAAACAAUUUAAAUGAUUAAAUAUAAAAGGGUUAAUAGGUAUUUACCCUUGUAAUAUAGGUCAUUUUUGGUUUUCCCCUAUAAAAUUUUUAUUUUUAUUCACCCUGUAAAAUAUUUUUAUUUUGAUAUACCACCUUAAUAGGCUAAACAAAAACGAAAAUUUCUUGAAAAAAAAAUAAAAUUGGUUUUUGUUUGGCCUAUCAGGGGUAAAUCAAAACAAAAUUAUUUUACACGGGUGAAUAAAAAUAAAAAUUUUACAGGAAGGAAAACCAAAAAUGACAUAUAUUACAGAGUAUAAAUAUCUAUUAACCCAAUAUAAAAAAUAAUAAAAAGGGAAAAUAACCUCGGUCAACUGAGUCCUUUGUAUCUGUUCCAGCAGCAGUAGCUGCAAAACAUCAAUAAGGAACAUUGGUAACAAAAAAAACAAGAACACAUGACGGGUUGAAUUAAUAUAUAAGUUUAGCUUGUCCCCAUAAUUUUACUAAAUUUUCUAUAUCUUGCUGAUUUUGUGUUUAAUGAAUUACAUACUUAAUUUUGUUUCUGAAAAAAGAUAUAUAGUACCAUGAAAAGAAACUUGUGCAGUUCAUCCAAAUAUGAUCCAUAUAAUUUUUUGCAUUGAUAAAUAAUUAAAGUUCAAAGAUUCAAAGGUUCUUCCACUUUAUAGAGAGAAUUAAAUAUACGCAUGAAACGUUCGGUAAAAAAAAAUGCAUGAAACGGACGUCUUUAGAAAUAAUAAUUAGAUUUCUCUCAAAAAAAAAGAAAUAAUAAUUAGACAAAUCCUAAGUAUCAAGUAAAAUAAUAAAAGCAAACCAAUGCUUUAAACAAAAUACACCAAAAUAAAUUCAUACAUCUUACACAAUCAGUCUAAUAACUAAGUAAAAUCUUUAUCAACUUGAAAGGAGAAAAAGAAAAAAAAAAACUUUCCCAUCCGAAAAAGUGGAAUUUGAUACACAACUCUACAAAAUAAUUAGCAAGAUUAUUUAGGAUUGUUUUUGUCAAUUUCAUAGGCUAAUCUGACAUCAUCAUACAACUUCAUGAAUCAAAAUAAGGUUUCACUCCAUAAAAAUGUAUAUUUUGGGGUUUUUCUUAGAGGACAUGUAUAUAUUGGGUUGAAAUUUUGCUUUGCUUUAUCUUAAAUUAAAUAGUAAAGAUAAAUGUUCUUAUAUUAAUAUAUUUAACAACCAAUGCGAUCGAUAAGACGAAAAUUGGAUUAAUUGAAAAUUAGAGAAAUAUAGAUAUUUUUUAGAUAUCAACUAACUAGAAAGAAAGAAAUAAAAUGAAUAUGGUAAAAAUGGCGAUCAACGGUCAAUAUUUAGAAGCAAAUUAAGCAAAAGGAUGAAUAAGGAUAUGAAUAUGAUGAAUGCAAUUAUGAGAUUCAACUAUUGUCAUUUUGAUUUUGUCAUUUAAAAAAAAAAAACGUAUAUGAUGAAUGUAAUUGUUGUGAUAUGUGUAAUACAUACUUUGAUCAACUGAAGAAGUAGCAUGAUCACUCACGACACGCUCUUGUUUAACAACACUGCUUGAAGUUCCUUCGUUCCCCGGUUCCUUUUCUUCAAGGAAGUAGGAAAACUCUCGAGGUUCAGAUUCAGAUUGAGGUAGUGGAGUUAGGGUGUCAACUAACUCUAAUUGUUUGUUUUUCGAUUCUUCCAUAAUGUAUUUCUAGGGUUACAGCAUUAGAAUUUCUAUUAAACUUAGAAUAUGUUUGUGAUCACACUUAAAUAGAGAUGAAAUUGUUGUUUUUGCUUACAGCAAGCCAAGCUGUUUGGUCACCACUCCAAUGGCCUCAAAGGUUUAUGUAAGAGACAUUGUGAAGACUCAAACGGGGUCCACUAAUAGACAGUUAUGCGGAUAUUCACUGCUUUGUCUUUUAUUAAUUAUUUCAAAUAUUUUUACCAUAUAUUUUCUAUACUUGGGGUUCAUUUCACAACUUACAUUUUACACUGCUUGUAUGCCAACCAAAGUAAGGUAUUCAGUUCCAUUGAGAUGUUGGUCACGAAAUGAAAUAAUUUUUUUUAAGGUAUUCAUUUUACACAACUUACAUUUUUUAAUUUUUUUUUUUUUUGGUAGAUAGACGAAAUGGCAAAGCCAUUAUAAACUCACACACACAAGUGAAGGUACCGGGGUUCGAACCCCGAUCAUGGCAUCCGGCCUAACAAUUUCGGAAACCAAAAUAGAGGUGAUCUAAAUCUAAGCAAGGCGUUUGAAGUUUUGGCUAAGACUUAUGAAAAUGUCAUUCAAAAUAAAAAUUGGUCAAGAAUAUCAUUCAAUUUAACCCCUUAUAUAAACUAACGUAAUUUAAAAUUAGAAUUUUAUAUUGAUUUAAAAUUAUGAAAUUUAGAUUUGAUUUAAUUUAGUUCAAUCUUUAUCGUAUAAUAUAAAUUCUAUUUGAAUCAUUUUUUAAGUUUAUUAAUUUAAUAGCCUCAAAAAAAAGUUUAUUAGUUUAAUAUUUAAAACAUUGUAAAAUACUUCUUUUAUUUUAGGGAUUGUAAGAUACUUCUAAAAAAAAGAACAUUAUAAAAUAAAGGAGAUGUGUUCCUAAAUGUAUAAAUUAAGAUUGAAAACUAAAAUUAACAAUGAUGAAGAUGAUUAUUUUUUCAAGAGAAUAUUGAUGUUUAUUCUUUGAAAAUACUAGGUUUUUUUUAAUAAAAAAACCAUCACUUUCUUUUAAAAUAGGGUAAAUUGUUAUUCCCUCCGUCUUGUCCUUUCUUUGGUGUUAAGGAGGGCCAAAGUUCCUCUUCCCCUUUAUUUAAAAUUUACACUCUUCUCACUUGAGAUAUUGAAGGAGUAGCGUAUAAUUUUUUUAACAUAAGCUACUAUAUUCUCUUAUUGAUGGAGUAGUUUAUUUAAGAUGAACACGUACUCCCUCUCUCCCAAGUAAUAAGGAAAAAAAACAAUUCACAUUUAUUAAAAAAACUAAAAUAUAACAAUUUGGAGUAUAAUUUUGUGUGUUUUUCUAAGAAUAAGUUUUAACAGAAGAUGUAAAAAUAAUUUUUAUUGGUUAUGGAGAAAAUGGAAGGGAAAACAAAUUUAAUUCAAUUUCAUGUGAAUAAGAAAAGUUUUUUUAUUUGGAAAAAAUGAGUUUUUGAAACAACGUGAUUAAAUAGGGUAAAAGUUAAUCUUUUUUACUUAUAAUUUAGGAUAAAAAAUGACUUUUUUUUGCUCAAAACAAGUGACGGGGGAGUAUAUUUGAGAUAAAUUAGAUAAUGAUACAAUGAAUAAAAUAGUGGUAGUUAACGAAUUUAUAAUACCAAUUGGCCAAUUGUAAAUGGUGUUAAAUCUUUGAGGAAUAAUCUUUCCAUGGUUCUAUUCAAUUUAAGAGAUUAAUCUCUACGGUUAUACAUAAAAAAUAGGGUUAAUAAUGUUUUUCACCCCUGUAAUAUAUGUCAUUUUCGAUUUUCGCCUCUAUAAAGUUUUUGGUUUGAUUUGCACCCUUGUAAAAAAAAAAUCCAGAAAACAUCCCUAGUAGGUCAUUUUCAGUUUUUUUUUUUCAAGAAAUUUUGGCUUUUGAAUGGCCUAUUAAGGGUGUUUUCUAGAAAAUAAAAAUUUUACGAGGGUGCAAAUCAAACUGAAAAUUUUAUAGGGCGAAAACUGGAAAUGACAUAUAUUACAGAGGUGAAAAGCACUAUUAACCCUAAAAAAUAUCACAUUCACACUAAAAAUGUGAUCAAUUGCAAGGCAUCGCUUUGUCCAAGUGAAUAGCUUUGGAUAAACCUAAUUAUAAUGGAUAAAAUAUUUACUUUUAAUUUUUUUAACAAAUUAAUGAAUAAAAAAAUUUGAUACCUUGUAUAAGUAUGUAGCACUCAUUUUAUUAUUUUUAUUGAAUAAUAAUAAUAGAUGAAUGAUAAGGUGUUAACCCUGGCUCUCAAAGAAGAGCCGUUGAGUUUUGAAUAUGAUUAUAGGAUUGAUUCGUUAGUUGAUUGAAUUGGAUCAUAGACUACUCUCUUAUCACUAAAGAAUAUAAUUUCAUUUAAAAAAUUCUAAAGACUAUUCAUCUAUACAUUAUACACCUCCACACACUUUGAUGCCGUUAGAACUCGGGAUAAGUAUAGUUUUACUUAAAAAAAUAGUUUGUAAGAUGAUGAGUGUUUCGUUUAUAAAUACAUGGUCAAACCAUUUCUUAUCUAAAGUGAAACUUUUAACGCACCUCUCACGUUUAGGAAUGGGCAUAUGCUGCAUGACAUGGGUGGUUUGAUAACGGUGACUUUACCGUAACCGAUGCAACAUGUCUUAAAUAAGUUUUAACGGCAUAUUACCAUUUAAGACGAGUCUAAGUCAACAUCACAAAACCGUCUUAUAAGAUGAGAGAUACUACCACAUAUAAAUACAUUAUCAAAUUAUAUCUCAUCAAAUUUAAAAGUUUUAACCAUUGCUUCACUUUACAGGCUUAUAACUUUUGGACGAUUGGAAAUAAUAAACUGAAUGCAUCCCCUCCCCCACUUCAAACAACAAAACAAUGAUCAUGCCAUGUAAAUUUCAAUAUAAAAUGUUAUAGACAAAUUACAUCUUACGUUGAAAUUUUUACUGUUAGAUUAUUUUCAUAUUUUUAUCAUAUAGUAUUUUGAUACCAAUUAAUCGAUGGUUUUUUUUUUUGGUGAAGGAAGUUAUUUAAUUAAAAAUUAUUAUUUUUUGUUCAAAGAUAAGAUGUCAAACUCUGGCGUGUUAGAGGGACAUUACGUAAUAUGCUGAACAUGGACCACUUGACAUCUAGUCAAUUUCGUGGUCGAUUUGCACGUAUUUGUGUGAAAAGGGAUCUUGAUAAGAAAAUCAUUUUAAAGUUCAUUGUGAAUGUUUUAGGUUUUGUUUUUACUAUUGAACAUGAAGGAUUACAUACAUAUUGCGUGUUUUAGUUGUGGCAUUGUGGAAAAUAUGGCCACAAUGCGGAAACUUGCCAAGACCACUACGUGAAGAAGAUUGUGUUCACCAUAAGAAAUGCUAGUUUAUCUACGGUUUAUGUUUCGAAAGUGUAACAACCAAUAAACCUAAAUUCUACAAAGAAGAACCCUUUGGCUCAUGAGGGAACUUCACAUGCAAAGGAGGAAGAUAUUCCAUCAUAUUUUAGUCCCUCGAUGUUGGUCAAAAUACAUAAUAUGCAUAAGCAAUUGAGUAGUGCAGCUCAACCGAAAUUUUCGGAGAAAAUAAAAAUAAAAAGGCUUAUUGAUGUGUUUAGCCCUUGCAAUUAGGCGGCAUUUAAAAAUUCGUUCCUGUAAUUGUUAAUCCUGGCAUUUUAACCCUGCAAUUGUUAAUCGUUUAAAAUUUGGUCCUUGGACCAAAUUAAUCACUGCCACGUCACUAAUUUGAUGACGUGGCAAUCACUGUCACACAUGAAAUUACAAUUUUGCCCUUAAGAAGAGGACAAAAUAUUGAAGAAAGAAUUGGAAACCCAGGGGUAAAUUUGGAAUUUCAUGUGGCGUGGCAGUGAUUAAGUGGGGAGAGGGACGAAAUUUUAAAUGAUUAACAAUUGCAGGGUUAAAAUGUCAGGAUUAGCAAUUACAGGGACGAAUUUUUAAAUGCCGCCUAAUUGCAAGGGUUAAACACAUCAAUAAGCCAAAUAAAAAUCAUGAAUAUACUAAAGGUAAAAAGCAUGAGGUAGAAACAAAUGAAUAUAUUGAUAUUGGUGUAGUCGUUAUAUAGAUAAAGAUAAUAGGAGUUGUGAUUCGUGUGUUGCAUAAAAAAAUCAUCAGAUGAGGGGCCCACAUCAAAGCUUGAUGGGUUUAAAGUGAAUGAAACAUCACAUUAAUAUAUAAUUUUUAAUUUUAUUUUAUAGUGCAU
This 20494-nucleotide long non-coding RNA is filed under the name Medicago truncatula (barrel medic). RNAcentral's name for it is "long non-coding RNA (MTRU_LNC006658)". Lineage: Eukaryota; Viridiplantae; Streptophyta; Magnoliopsida; Fabales; Fabaceae. The record is from RNAcentral.